Molecule: ribosomal RNA, 253 nt
Filed under: uncultured bacterium
Lineage: Bacteria
Description: partial 16S ribosomal RNA
Rfam family: Bacterial small subunit ribosomal RNA
Source: RNAcentral
UAAGGGGGGUGCAAGCGUUAUUCGGAAUUAUUGGGCGUAAAGGGCGCGUAGGCGGUUGAAUAAGUCAGAUGUGAGAGCCCUUGGCUUAACCAAGGAAGUGCAUUUGAUACUAUUUGACUUGAGUAUGGGAGAGGGAAGUGGAAUUCCUGGUGUAGAGGUGAAAUUCGUAGAUAUCAGGAGGAACACCGGUGGCGAAAGAGUCUUCCUGGACCAAUACUGACGAUGAGCCGCGAUGGCGUGGGGAGCAAACAGG